Spinacia oleracea (spinach) is the source of this 587-nucleotide long non-coding RNA. RefSeq lists it as uncharacterized. The transcript has 3 exons. The record is from RefSeq and is a predicted model, not a curated record. Lineage: Eukaryota; Viridiplantae; Streptophyta; Magnoliopsida; Caryophyllales; Amaranthaceae.
AUCCACCCCAACUGAACUUCGUAUUUAUUAAAUCUAUCCACCCCAAUUAGAAACCCUUGUUCAUUCCGCCCCCAAAUCACAAAAAUUAUAAUUAGAAAAAAAGACCUUCUCCACUCUAUAUCAAGCAUUAUACUUAUCGAUUUUCUCCCAGUUUCUAUCCCAAUGGAUCCAAUAUCUAAAACCCCUCUAAAAUUUCAAUUACCAGUUACUUUCGUCGGCGGCCAGCCGCGUUAUUGGAUUGUUUCAUUGUUUCCUGUUUCUCUCUCCUCUCUUAAUUGAAGUUGAUAUUGUAAUUCAUCAAAUGUUGGGAGGACCGUCAAUUGUUGGCCUUGAUUUUCACUGGGGUUUUGUUGCUUGUUUCGGGAGAUGAACGACCGCGUGAGCUUCUGGAUUCUAGAGGUAUAUGAUGAACUACAUGGUGUAGGAGGAAGAAUGUUAUGAUUAUUGAAAUGACAUUCUUAGUGGAGGUUUAUACUCACAAGUUGGUGUUUGAUUUUCUUAGUGAUCUUAUAUAAGUUGAAUAUCUAGGUGAAUUGUCCAUCAUAGGUUGGACUUAUUUUGGUGAAACUUUGUUCGCAAUAUCGUAA